ACGGGAUCCAGACUUCGGUCUGGUGAGAGUGGCGGACGGGUGAGUAACGCGUGGGAACCUGCCCAAUGGUCUGAGAUAACCGCGGGAAACUGCGGCUAAUACCGGAUAAGCCCGAGAGGGGAAAGAUUUAUCGCCGAUGGAGGGGCCCGCGUCCGAUUAGGUAGUUGGUGAGGUAACGGCUCACCAAGCCUACGAUCGGUAGCUGGUCUGAGAGGAUGAUCAGCCACACUGGGACUGAGAUACGGCCCAGACUCCUACGGGAGGCAGCAGUGGGGAAUAUUGGACAAUGGGGGCAACCCUGAUCCAGCAAUGCCGNNNNNNUGAUG
This 326-nucleotide ribosomal RNA is filed under the name uncultured soil bacterium. Its description in RNAcentral is "bacterial SSU rRNA". It matches the Rfam family "Bacterial small subunit ribosomal RNA", at positions 66 to 410 of the family's 1533-position model. The record is from RNAcentral.